CAAUAGCGGAGGAAAAGAAACCAACAGGGAUUGCCCCAGUAACGGCGAGUGAAGCGGCAACAGCUCAAAUUUGAAAUCCGGCCCCCCGGGCCCGAGUUGUAAUUUGCAGAGGAUGCUUUUGGCGAGGCGCCGCCCGAGUUCCCUGGAACGGGACGCCACAGAGGGUGAGAGCCCCGUCUGGCUGGCCGCCGAGCCUCUGUAAAGCUCCUUCGACGAGUCGAGUAGUUUGGGAAUGCUGCUCAAAACGGGAGGUAUAUGUCUUCUAAAGCUAAAUACCGGCCAGAGACCGAUAGCGCACAAGUAGAGUGAUCGAAAGAUGAAAAGCACUUUGAAAAGAGGGUUAAACAGUACGUGAAAUUGUUGAAAGGGAAGCGCUUGCGACCAGACUCGGGCGCGGCGGAUCACCCGGCGUUCUCGCCGGUGCACUCCGCCACGCCCGGGCCAGCAUCAGUUCGCGCCGGGGGACAAAGGCGCCGGGAAUGUGGCUCCCCCGGGAGUGUUAUAGCCCGGCGCGCAAUACCCUGGGGCGGACUGAGGACCGCGCGUUACGCAA
RNAcentral lists this ribosomal RNA (553 nucleotides) under Escovopsis sp. RNAcentral describes it as "partial large subunit ribosomal RNA". It matches the Rfam family "Eukaryotic large subunit ribosomal RNA", at positions 44 to 607 of the family's 3401-position model. Lineage: Eukaryota; Fungi; Ascomycota; Sordariomycetes; Hypocreales; Hypocreaceae. The record is from RNAcentral.